AUGGAUCUGACACAGGUGCUGCCGGAGGAAAUACUCGCCGACGUGCUCCACCGCGUCGCGCCGCGCGGCCUCGCCGCAUGCCGCUGCGUCUGCAAGGCCCUUCUCGCCGUCAUCGACGCCAGCCGCCUACUGCGCGCGGACCUCCUCCCGCUCUCGGUCGGCGGCGUCUUCAUCAAUUUCUACUGCGAACGUGUGUCGGAGUUCUUCACCAGUCCCUCCACCGGCCCCACCAUCUCCGGCAGGUUCGACUACGUGCCCUAUCCCAGCCGUCCUGAUUGGCGCAAAAUCAAGGACCACUGCAAUGGCCUCCUGUUGCUUGCUGAUUAUUGGGAUUGGGAGGAUUGUUACGUGGUUAACCCGGCCACGCGGCAGUGGGAUUCUCUACCACCGCGUCCGUCCGUGUUCGAGGAGAUAGAUGAAGACCUCAAAUGCGAAUAUCACCUCGUGUUUGAUCCCAUGGUGUCGCCCCACUAUGAGGUGUUUGUGAUCCUAAAUCCUCGCUACAACGGACAUGAGGACCAAGUAGACCCUGUUAUAUUGGAGGAACCUGAAUCUGAUUCUGAAUGGCCACCACCAGCGUUUGAUUUGCAUGUUUUCUCCUCAAAGUCGGGCAGUUGGAAGGAGAGGUCUGUUUUUCGACAAGGGGAGGCUGCUGCCACUGUUUCUGGAAUGCGGCGGCAUCUCGACUGGUUUGAUGACAGACGGCAUGCCGUCUACUGCCGGGGCAACCUUUACGUCCACUGCAAAACUGAUUUCAUAAUGAGGAUCUGCUUGUCAAAUGAUAAGUACCAAGUAAUUAAACCACCCAUGGAUCGUGAACCGGACGACUACCAGAAGCUUCAUCUUGGACGAUCAGAAAAAGGGGUGUACCUUGCAACUGCUACUUUUAAAACGUCUCGUCUUAUGGUUUGGGUCCUUGAGGAAUCGUGUGGGCACGCAAAUUGGGUCUUGAAGCAUAACAAUUGCCUUACACCUAUACAAGAUGAUCUUCGUCCUGUUCUUGGGCCAUGGGUCUUACAAGAUAUCAAUUUUAAUGAGUAUCUCAAAGAAUGCAAGGAAUGUAAUCAACACGGCGACGACUUGGAAUGGCUAAUAGAAAAGAAAUUGGAGUUGAACUCCGUCAAGAAAGAUCUAGGGGAAGAAAAGUUUGAAUGGGACUUUGAAAAUGACAACGUUCUUCACAAGGAAGAUGAGGUUGACGGACGUGGAUCUGGAUACUUUGGUAUCCUUGGAUUUCAUCCGUAUAAAGAGGUUGUCUUUCUGCAUGUAUCAAUGUGCAGAGGGUUGGCCUAUCAUUUGAAAGAUUCAAAGUUUCAGGAUCUUGGCUAUUUAUACCCAACAACUUGUCAUCUAGCAUCGGGGGCCGACCGUUUCAUAACUGAUUCAUUCCCAUACACACCUUGUUGGACAGAACUGCAGAAAGCAACAAGAAUGUAG
This 1437-nucleotide ribosomal RNA is filed under the name Triticum aestivum (bread wheat). Its description in RNAcentral is "partial small subunit ribosomal RNA". Lineage: Eukaryota; Viridiplantae; Streptophyta; Magnoliopsida; Poales; Poaceae. The record is from RNAcentral.